Peromyscus californicus insignis is the source of this 1924-nucleotide long non-coding RNA. RefSeq lists it as uncharacterized. NCBI's taxonomy places the organism in Eukaryota, Metazoa, Chordata, Mammalia, Rodentia, Cricetidae. The transcript is spliced from 2 exons. The record is from RefSeq and is a predicted model, not a curated record.
UCACCAGCUGCCACGUAGUCAGUCACCAGUCCCUAGGCAUGUCACCUGAAGCCGCAGGCAGCCACAUGGAAUCACAGAUGCCUCCUGAGGACACAGGCAGUGAUGGUUAUGUGUGUGGUACAUGAGAGCUCAAAUUCCUUAGCUAUAUGAUUAAUGGGCUAUACAGACACCAAGUUGCUGAUGGCAUUGGAAUCCCUCUGUCUGGGAACAAAAGGAGGAAGCUUGGUUCUGCGAUUUUCCAAAACAAUAAAGCUGCCACAGAAGAGCAGCUCUGCUUCCUCUCCACCACAAAGCUCUUCCUCUCUGCAGGCCCAGAAGCAGCCAAGCGACAGUGGACUGAGAUCUGUGAGACCAUGAUUUAAGAUAAAACUUCAAGUUGAUAUUUCUCAGGCCUUUUGUCAGAGUGGCAGAACCUUGACUAACACACCAACCAUUGAAGUUGAGCAAAGGAUACUAGUUGCAGCAAUGGCUCUGAUUCUGUCAUGGUGUUGAUACCUGGGGGGGGCGACCUCUGCCCCUUUCUGUCUCCAUUGAUGCAAGUAGACACUGACCUAGAGGCUUCUGGUACCAAGUAACAACUUGUUGCCCUUCCAUCAACACAGACUCUCUGUUUACACCAGCCUCUGCCUACUUCUUGUCUGGUCUGCUAACGGCCAUGAGGAACAGCCUAAGAUGGAUGGCUUCAGAUGAUCCUGCGUGUAGAAUAUCUGAACCAUAGCCCUUUGGUAUUUGUAAAUCUGAACCACGUUUUUGGCUCCACAGAUGGAACCCAGAGAUUCACAUGUGCUAGGCCAAAUGUUCUAUUACUAAGAAACACCCAUAGUCGUUCCUAUCCGUUUUGAGUAUACUUUGAUAAUUGCCUACAUGGUAAGUACCUCUUUCUGGUGGUACCCAGAAAACUCACUUUCCAAGCCUUCCUUGAAUCUAGGAAUGGGUAAGUGAAAUAGGCUGUGCCAAUGAGCUAUGUCUUCAUGAGCCUCUGAUCCAAACGUCAGGAAUGAGUGGGAGAAAUCCUGCCCAUGCCAUCCAUCUUGCUGGCAUCAGAAAAGUGGCAGAAGCAAUGGAUGGUGGGUGAUUGUGGGAGCUGUUCUUGGAAAUUUAAGACUUUUUUGAACCUCCCAUAAAUUCUAUGAGUUAUGUAACAAUUUUUAGGAUGCUCUUUUUAUGCUAAAAAGAGUCUAUAUGGAUUCGGUGUUGUUGUAUAUAGCCAAGAACUCAGAUUGUCUCCCUUGCGGACCCAUUGCUCAAGGUCUUUUCAGCCCUUGAAAGCCUGUGGCUAUGGAGCUAAGCAUACAGCAUGACACAUACCUUGUCCCUCAUGGCUGCCUAUACUGUGGAAGUGGAGGCUCUGACUGGUGAGGCUUGAUGAAACAGGGUCUCACUAUGUAGCCUUGACUGGCUUGAAACUCACUACGCAGAACAGGCCACUCUCAAACUCACAGAGUUCCACCUGCCUCUGCCUCCCCAGUGCUGACAGUGCAAGUGUAUGCACUACCAUGCUUGGCUCUGGGCUAAACCCUUGAAACUCAGCAAAGAAUGCAUUCAGAAGAAAUAAUCCACUCAGAAGAGCCACCCCAUCUACCGCAAAGAUGUUGCAGACAAAAAGCAACAGCUAGGAAAAUGUAGUGUCCAGCUCCUAACCUCCAGUGAAUAGUGGUGGGUUUCCUCUCAAUUAAUGAAGUUGCUCAUGGAAGGCUGGAGAGAUGAGUCAGUGAUUAGGAGCACAUACUGCUCUUGUAGGAGACCUGAGCUCAGUUCCCAGCAUCCAUGUCAAACAGCUCACAACUGCCUACAACUCGUGCUUCAGGGACCCUGGCACUCUCUUCUGGCUUCUACAGGCAUCGUAUUCACACAUAUAAUCUUCUACCACCCCACCCCACCCCAAAAAUCUAAAGUAAAAGUAAAUAAAAAAAUUUAGAACUUG